RNAcentral lists this ribosomal RNA (474 nucleotides) under uncultured bacterium. Its description in RNAcentral is "partial 16S ribosomal RNA". It matches the Rfam family "Bacterial small subunit ribosomal RNA", at positions 28 to 507 of the family's 1533-position model. The record is from RNAcentral.
GACGAACGCUGGCGGCGUGCUUAACACAUGCAAGUCGAGCGGUAAGGCUCCUUCGGGAGUCCACGAGCGGCGAACGGGUGAGUAACACGUGGGUAAUCUGCCCUUCACUUCGGGAUAACCACCGGAAACGGUGGCUAAUACCGAAUACGACCAGUCUUCGCAUGAGGUGCUGGUGGAAAGUCUUUUCGGUGAAGGAUGUGCUCGCGGCCUAUCAGCUUGUUGGUGGGGUAAUGGCCUACCAAGGCUUCGACGGGUAGCCGGCCUGAGAGGGUGACCGGCCACACUGGGACUGAGACACGGCCCAGACUCCUACGGGAGGCAGCAGUGGGGAAUAUUGGACAAUGGGCGAAAGCCUGAUCCAGCAACGCCGCGUGAGGGAUGACGGCCUUCGGGUUGUAAACCUCGUUCAGUACCGACGAAGCGCCCUGUCGGGUGGUGACGGUAGGUACAGAAGAAGGACCGGCCAACUACGUG